GGAGGAUUAGCUCAGCUGGGAGAGCAUAUGCCUUACAAGCAGGAGGUCACAGGUUCGAGCCCUGUAUCCUCCA
This 73-nucleotide transfer RNA is filed under the name Lactobacillus helveticus. RNAcentral describes it as "tRNA-Val". It matches the Rfam family "tRNA". Rfam says of the family: Transfer RNA (tRNA) molecules are approximately 80 nucleotides in length. The record is from RNAcentral. Lineage: Bacteria; Bacillati; Bacillota; Bacilli; Lactobacillales; Lactobacillaceae.